Molecule: transfer RNA, 69 nt
Filed under: Apis mellifera (honey bee)
Lineage: Eukaryota; Metazoa; Arthropoda; Insecta; Hymenoptera; Apidae
Also listed under: 1 other name
Description: tRNA-Val
Source: RNAcentral
AAAAUUUUAGUUUAAAGUAAAAUAUUUCUUUUACAGUGAAAAGAUUAAAAAAUUGUUUUUAAAAUUUUA